RNAcentral lists this transfer RNA (74 nucleotides) under Achromobacter anxifer. RNAcentral's name for it is "tRNA-Met". It matches the Rfam family "tRNA". From Rfam's summary of the family: Transfer RNA (tRNA) molecules are approximately 80 nucleotides in length. Their secondary structure includes four short double-helical elements and three loops (D, anti-codon, and T loops). Lineage: Bacteria; Pseudomonadati; Pseudomonadota; Betaproteobacteria; Burkholderiales; Alcaligenaceae. The record is from RNAcentral.
CGCGGGGUGGCGCAGUGGUAGCGUGCUGGGUUCAUGUCCCAGAGGCGGCGGUUCGAUUCCGUCCCCCGCAUCCA